GCAUUAAUUGCUCAGUCAGUAAAGCAUGAGACUCUUCUAAUCUCAGUGCUGUGGGUUCAAGCCCCACAUUGGGCA
This is a non-coding RNA of Podarcis lilfordi (Lilford's wall lizard), 75 nucleotides long. Lineage: Eukaryota; Metazoa; Chordata; Lepidosauria; Squamata; Lacertidae. The record is from the annotation of a GenBank genome assembly.